ACUUUGAAAAAAUUAGAGUGCUCAAAGCAGGCAGCCUCGCCUGAAUAAUGGUGCAUGGAAUAAUGGAAUAGGACCUCGGUUCUAUUUUGUUGGUUUUCGGAACACGAGGUAAUGAUUAAGAGGGACAGACGGGGGCAUUCGUAUUGCGACGCUAGAGGUGAAAUUCUUGGACCGCCGCACGACGAACUACUGCGAAAGCAUUUGCCAAGAAUGUUUCCAUUAAUCAAGAACGAAAGUCAGAGGUUCGAAGGCGAUCAGAUACCGCCCUAGUUCUGACCAUAAACGAUGCCAGCCAGCGAUCCGGCUGCGUUCCUCAAAUGACGCGCCGGGCAGCUUCCGGGAAACCAAAGCUUUUGGGUUCCGGGGGGAGUAUGGUUGCAAAGCUGAAACUUAAAGGAAUUGACGGAAGCGCACACAAGAAAUGGGGCCUGCGGCUUAAUUUGACUCAACACGGUGCAACUCACCCGGCCCGGACACAGGAAGGAUUGACAGAUUAAGAGCUCUUUCUUGAUUCUGUGACAGGUGGUGCAUGGCCGUUUCUAGUUGGUGGAGUGAUUUGUCUGCUUUAUUGCGAUAACGAGCGAGACUCUAGCCUACUAAAUAGACUCUCCGUCUUCUUUCGCGGAGAGGUCUUCUUAGAGGGACAAGCGGUGUUCAGCCGCACGAAACUGAGCAAAAACAGGUCAGGAUGCCCUUAGAUGUUCGGGGCCGCACGCGCGCCACAUUGAAGGAAUCAGCGUGUGCUUUCCCUCUCCGAUAGGAGUGGGUAACCCGUUGAAACUCCUUCGUGCUAGGGAUAGGAAAUUGUAAUUGUUUUCCUUGAACGAGGAAUUCCCAGUAAGCAUUGAGUCAUCAGCUCGUGUUGAUUACGUCCCUGCGCUUUGUGCACACCGCCCGUCGCUAUUAUCGAUGAAUUUUGGAGUGAGAUCAU
This 931-nucleotide ribosomal RNA is filed under the name Tetragnatha maxillosa. RNAcentral describes it as "SSU rRNA". It matches the Rfam family "Eukaryotic small subunit ribosomal RNA", at positions 754 to 1710 of the family's 1831-position model. Lineage: Eukaryota; Metazoa; Arthropoda; Arachnida; Araneae; Tetragnathidae. The record is from RNAcentral.